This 497-nucleotide ribosomal RNA is filed under the name uncultured bacterium. Its description in RNAcentral is "partial 16S ribosomal RNA". It matches the Rfam family "Bacterial small subunit ribosomal RNA", at positions 28 to 507 of the family's 1533-position model. The record is from RNAcentral.
GAUGAACGCUGGCGGCGUGCUUAAUACAUGCAAGUCGAGCGGACGGACGAGACUCUUGCUGUACUGAUGUUUGCGGCGGGCGGGUGAGUCACACGUGUAUAACCUACCUAUAAGACUGGGAUCUCUUCGGGAAACCGGAGCUAAUACCGGAGAAUAUUCUGAACCGCAUGGUUCAAAAGUGAAAUACGGUGUUGCUGGCUCUAAUAGCUGGAUACGCGCUGCUUUAUCUGGUUGGGAAGGUAACGGCUUACCAAGGCAACUAUGCAUAGCCGACCUGAGAGGGGGAUCGGCCACACGGGAACUGAGACACGGUCCAGACUCCUACGGUAGGCAGCAGUAGGGAAUCUUCCGCAAUGGGGGAGAGCCUGACAGAGCAACGCCGCGUGAGUGAUGAAGGUCUUCGGAUCGUAAAACUCUGUUAUGAGUGAAGAACAGAUGUGGAAUUAACUGUGCAGAUAUUGACGGUACCGGAUCAGAAAGCCCCGGCUAACUACGUG